CCUACGGGUGGCAGCAGUGAGGAAUAUUGGUCAAUGGGCGGAAGCCUGAACCAGCCAAGUCGCGUGAGGGAAUAAGGCCCUACGGGUCGUAAACCUCUUUUGCCGGGGAGCAAGGGCCGGGACGCAUCCCGUCCCGGAGAGUACCCGGAGAAAAAGCAUCGGCUAAGUCCGUGCCAGCAGCCGCGGUAAUACGGAGGAUGGGAGCGUUAUCCGGAUUUAUUGGGUUUAAAGGGUGCGUAGGCGGGCGUUUAAGUCAGCGGUAAAAAUUCGGGGCUCAACCCCGUCCGGCCGUUGAAACUGGGGGCCUUGAGUGGGCGAGAGGAAGGCGGAAUGCGUGGUGUAGCGGUGAAAUGCAUAGAGAUCACGCAGAACCCCGAUUGCGAAGGCAGCCUUCCGGCGCCCUACUGACGCUGAGGCACGAAAGUGCGGGGAUCGAACAGGAUUAGAUACCCUUGUAGUC
Molecule: ribosomal RNA, 460 nt
Filed under: uncultured bacterium
Lineage: Bacteria
Description: partial 16S ribosomal RNA
Rfam family: Bacterial small subunit ribosomal RNA
Source: RNAcentral